Molecule: long non-coding RNA, 411 nt
Organism: Dermacentor silvarum
Lineage: Eukaryota; Metazoa; Arthropoda; Arachnida; Ixodida; Ixodidae
Exons: 4
Source: RefSeq, a predicted model, not a curated record
AACCAGUUUAUAGCCAUAGCACGAAGAAGGAUUAUAAGUACUUCGUUCCCGCACACCGGAGCUUUAAAAGCUCUGAUGUCAAACUACUGACUGUAACAGCAAGUUAUAGAAGUGCACUGCCCUUGCAAGGUUCAUCUACCAUAUUCUUAGUCUGCACAUGUACUUCUUAUCAAAUAACAAAUGUCGGGUGACAACAGCGUCAUGACAGCCCUUGCUUCGUUCAUGGUGCCGGCCAUCACCAUACUAUAUUCAGUCUCAGGCGGCCGGUACUACCCACCCGGAAGGGGUUUCAAGAAGGGCCAUGUCGCCGUGUACCAUGCAGAUGAAUCUGAACUCAUGCUCAAGAUGCCGCCACACACAUUCAGAUGGCGCCCUUUUGGUACAGUUACUAGCAGCGUGAGACAAGCAGAG